UCCCUGGUGGUCCAGUGGUUAAGACUCUGUGCUGUCAGUGCAGGGGGCUCAGGUUCGAUCCUUGGUCAGAGAA
This 73-nucleotide transfer RNA is filed under the name Ovis aries (sheep). It matches the Rfam family "tRNA". Rfam says of the family: Transfer RNA (tRNA) molecules are approximately 80 nucleotides in length. Their secondary structure includes four short double-helical elements and three loops (D, anti-codon, and T loops). Lineage: Eukaryota; Metazoa; Chordata; Mammalia; Artiodactyla; Bovidae. The record is from Rfam by way of RNAcentral.